UACGUAGGGUGCAAGCGUUGUCCGGAAUUAUUGGGCGUAAAGAGCUCGUAGGCGGUUCGUCGCGUCGGCUGUGAAAUCCCGAGGCUCAACCUCGGGUCUGCAGUCGAUACGGGCAGACUUGAGUGUUGCAGGGGAGACUGGAAUUCCUGGUGUAGCGGUGAAAUGCGCAGAUAUCAGGAGGAACACCGGUGGCGAAGGCGGUCUCUGGGCCAUUACCUGACGCUGAGGAGCGAAAGCGGGUGGGAGAACAGG
Molecule: ribosomal RNA, 252 nt
Filed under: uncultured bacterium
Lineage: Bacteria
Description: partial 16S ribosomal RNA
Rfam family: Bacterial small subunit ribosomal RNA
Source: RNAcentral